UGAGCCACUUCAGAGUGCCUUGAUCUCUUG
RNAcentral lists this non-coding RNA (30 nucleotides) under Rattus norvegicus (Norway rat). Lineage: Eukaryota; Metazoa; Chordata; Mammalia; Rodentia; Muridae. The record is from RNAcentral.